GGUUAAGCGACUAAGCGUACACGGUGGAUGCCCUGGCAGUCAGAGGCGAUGAAGGACGUGCUAAUCUGCGAAAAGCGUCGGUAAGGUGAUAUGAACCGUUAUAACCGGCGAUGUCCGAAUGGGGAAACCCAGUGCAAUUCGUUGCACUAUCGUUAACUGAAUACAUAGGUUAACGAGGCGAACCGGGGGAACUGAAACAUCUAAGUACCCCGAGGAAAAGAAAUCAACCGAGAUUCCCCCAGUAGCGGCGAGCGAACGGGGAGCAGCCCAGAGUCUGAAUCAGCUUGUGUGUUAGUGGAACGGUCUGGAAAGUCCGACGGUACAGGGUGAUAGUCCCGUACACCAAAAUGCACAGGUUGUGAACUCGAAGAGUAGGGCGGGACACGUGGUAUCCUGUCUGAAUAUGGGGGGACCAUCCUCCAAGGCUAAAUACUCCUGACUGACCGAUAGUGAACCAGUACCGUGAGGGAAAGGCGAAAAGAACCCCGGCGAGGGGAGUGAAAAAGAACCUGAAACCGUGUACGUACAAGCAGUGGGAGCACCUUCGGGUGUGACUGCGUACCUUUUGUAUAAUGGGUCAGCGACUUAUAUUCUGUAGCAAGGUUAACCGUAUAGGGGAGCCGCAGGGAAACCGAGUCUUAACUGGGCGUUAAGUUGCAGGGUAUAGACCCGAAACCCGGUGAUCUAGCCAUGGGCAGGUUGAAGGUUGGGUAACACUAACUGGAGGACCGAACCGACUAAUGUUGAAAAAUUAGCGGAUGACUUGUGGCUGGGGGUGAAAGGCCAAUCAAACCGGGAGAUAGCUGGUUCUCCCCGAAAGCUAUUUAGGUAGCGCCUCGUGAACUCAUCUUCGGGGGUAGAGCACUGUUUCGGCUAGGGGGUCAUCCCGACUUACCAACCCGAUGCAAACUACGAAUACCGAAGAAUGUUAUCACGGGAGACACACGGCGGGUGCUAACGUCCGUCGUGAAGAGGGAAACAACCCAGACCGCCAGCUAAGGUCCCAAAGUCAUGGUUAAGUGGGAAACGAUGUGGGAAGGCACAGACAGCCAGGAUGUUGGCUUAGAAGCAGCCAUCAUUUAAAGAAAGCGUAAUAGCUCACUGGUCGAGUCGGCCUGCGCGGAAGAUGUAACGGGGCUAAACCAUGCACCGAAGCUGCGGCAGCGACACUAUGUGUUGUUGGGUAGGGGAGCGUUCUGUAAGCCUGCGAAGGUGUGCUGUGAGGCAUGCUGGAGGUAUCAGAAGUGCGAAUGCUGACAUAAGUAACGAUAAAGCGGGUGAAAAGCCCGCUCGCCGGAAGACCAAGGGUUCCUGUCCAACGUUAAUCGGGGCAGGGUGAGUCGACCCCUAAGGCGAGGCCGAAAGGCGUAGUCGAUGGGAAACAGGUUAAUAUUCCUGUACUUGGUGUUACUGCGAAGGGGGGACGGAGAAGGCUAUGUUAGCCGGGCGACGGUUGUCCCGGUUUAAGCAUGUAGGCUGGUUAUCCAGGCAAAUCCGGAUAAUCAAGGCUGAGGUGUGAUGACGAGGCACUACGGUGCUGAAGUAACAAAUGCCCUGCUUCCAGGAAAAGCCUCUAAGCAUCAGGUAACAUCAAAUCGUACCCCAAACCGACACAGGUGGUCAGGUAGAGAAUACCAAGGCGCUUGAGAGAACUCGGGUGAAGGAACUAGGCAAAAUGGUGCCGUAACUUCGGGAGAAGGCACGCUGGUGUGUAGGUGAAGUCCCUGCGGAUGGAGCUGAGACCAGUCGAAGAUACCAGCUGGCUGCAACUGUUUAUUAAAAACACAGCACUGUGCAAACACGAAAGUGGACGUAUACGGUGUGACGCCUGCCCGGUGCCGGAAGGUUAAUUGAUGGGGUUAUCCGUAAGGAGAAGCUCUUGAUCGAAGCCCCGGUAAACGGCGGCCGUAACUAUAACGGUCCUAAGGUAGCGAAAUUCCUUGUCGGGUAAGUUCCGACCUGCACGAAUGGCGUAAUGAUGGCCAGGCUGUCUCCACCCGAGACUCAGUGAAAUUGAACUCGCUGUGAAGAUGCAGUGUACCCGCGGCAAGACGGAAAGACCCCGUGAACCUUUACUAUAGCUUGACACUGAACAUUGAGCCUUGAUGUGUAGGAUAGGUGGGAGGCUUUGAAGCGUGGACGCCAGUCUGCGUGGAGCCAACCUUGAAAUACCACCCUUUAAUGUUUG
RNAcentral lists this ribosomal RNA (2188 nucleotides) under Klebsiella pneumoniae. RNAcentral's name for it is "partial 23S ribosomal RNA". It matches the Rfam family "Bacterial large subunit ribosomal RNA", at positions 1 to 2216 of the family's 2925-position model. Lineage: Bacteria; Pseudomonadati; Pseudomonadota; Gammaproteobacteria; Enterobacterales; Enterobacteriaceae. The record is from RNAcentral.